Molecule: ribosomal RNA, 475 nt
Filed under: uncultured bacterium
Lineage: Bacteria
Description: bacterial SSU rRNA
Rfam family: Bacterial small subunit ribosomal RNA
Source: RNAcentral
GGCAUGCUUAACACAUGCAAGUCGAACGGUAACAGGUCUAGCUUGCUAGACGCUGACGAGUGGCGCACGGGUGAGUAAUGCGUAGGAAUCUGCCUAGUAGAGGGGGACAACUCGGGGAAACUCGAGCUAAUACCGCAUAAUCUCUGAGGAGGAAAGCGUGGGACCUACGGGCCACGUGCUAUUAGAUGAGCCUGCGUCGGAUUAGCUUGUUGGUGGGGUAAAGGCCUACCAAGGCGACGAUCCGUAGCUGGUCUGAGAGGACGAUCAGCCACACUGGGACUGAGACACGGCCCAGACUCCUACGGGAGGCAGCAGUGGGGAAUAUUGGACAAUGGGCGCAAGCCUGAUCCAGCAAUGCCGCGUGUGUGAAGAAGGCCUGCGGGUUGUAAAGCACUUUCAGUGGGGAGGAAGGGGUAUGUCUGAAUGAGGCAUAUCAUUGACGUUACCCAAAGAAGAAGCACCGGCUAACUCUGUG